CCUACGGGUGGCAGCAGUGGGGAAUAUUGCGCAAUGGGGGGAACCCUGACGCAGCCAUGCCGCGUGAAUGAAGAAGGCCUUCGGGUUGUAAAGUUCUUUCGGUAUUGAGGAAGGUUGAUGUGUUAAUAGCACAUCAAAUUGACGUUAAAUACAGAAGAAGCACCGGCUAACUCCGUGCCAGCAGCCGCGGUAAUACGUAGGUCCCGAGCGUUAUCCGGAUUUAUUGGGCGUAAAGCGAGCGCAGGCGGUUCCUUAAGUCUGAUGUGAAAGCCCCGGGCUUAACCUGGGAAUUGCAUUUCAGACUGGGUAACUAGAGUACUUUAGGGAGGGGUAGAAUUCCACGUGUAGCGGUGAAAUGCGUAGAGAUGUGGAGGAAUACCGAAGGCGAAGGCAGCCCCUUGG
Molecule: ribosomal RNA, 402 nt
Filed under: uncultured Haemophilus sp.
Lineage: Bacteria; Pseudomonadati; Pseudomonadota; Gammaproteobacteria; Pasteurellales; Pasteurellaceae
Description: bacterial SSU rRNA
Rfam family: Bacterial small subunit ribosomal RNA
Source: RNAcentral